GACGAACGCUGGCGGCGUGCUUAACACAUGCAAGUCGAACGGAAAGGCCCUGCUUGCAGGGUGCUCGAGUGGCGAACGGGUGAGUAACACGUGGGUGAUCUGCCCCUUACUUUGGGAUAAGCCUGGGAAACUGGGUCUAAUACUGGAUAGGACCAUGCUGUAGGUGGUGUGGUGGAAAGAUUUUUUCGGUAAGGGAUGAGCUCGCGGCCUAUCAGCUUGUUGGUGGGGUAAUGGCCUACCAAGGCGUCGACGGGUAGCCGGCCUGAGAGGGUGGACGGCCACAUUGGGACUGAGAUACGGCCCAGACUCCUACGGGAGGCAGCAGUGGGGAAUAUUGCACAAUGGGCGCAAGCCUGAUGCAGCGACGCCGCGUGGGGGAUGACGGCCUCCGGGUUGUAAACUCCUUUCAGCCAUGACGAAGCCUCUUUUGGGGUGACGGUAGUGGUAGAAGAAGCACCGGCUAACUACGUGCCAGCAGCCGCGGUAAUACGUAGGGUGCGAGCGUUGUCCGGAAUUACUGGGCGUAAAGAGCUCGUAGGUGGUCUGUCGCGUCAUUUGUGAAAGCCCGGGGCUUAACUCCGGGUUGGCAGGUGAUACGGGCAUGACUGGAGUACUGUAGGGGAGACUGGAAUUCCUGGUGUAGCGGUGAAAUGCGCAGAUAUCAGGAGGAACACCGGUGGCGAAGGCGGGUCUCUGGGCAGUAACUGACGCUGAGGAGCGAAAGCAUGGGUAGCGAACAGG
This 741-nucleotide ribosomal RNA is filed under the name uncultured Corynebacterium sp. Its description in RNAcentral is "bacterial SSU rRNA". It matches the Rfam family "Bacterial small subunit ribosomal RNA", at positions 28 to 776 of the family's 1533-position model. Lineage: Bacteria; Bacillati; Actinomycetota; Actinomycetes; Mycobacteriales; Corynebacteriaceae. The record is from RNAcentral.